AUUGAACGCUGGCGGCAGGCCUAACACAUGCAAGUCGAGCGAGCGGCGGAGGGGUGAGUAAUGUAUGGGGACUGCCCGAUAGAGGGGGAUAACUCCUGGAAACGGUAGCUAAUACCGCAUACUAUCUCAGAACACAUAUGGGAUUAGCUAGUAGGGGGGGUAAUGGCUCACCUAGGCGACGAUCCCUAGCUGGUCUGAGAGGGUGAUCAGCCAAACUGGGACUGAGACACGGCCCAGACUCCUACGGAGGCAGCAGUGGGGAAUAUUGCACAAUGGGCGCAAGCCUGAUGCAGCCAUGCCGCGUGUAUGAAGAAGGCCCUAGGGUUGUAAAGUACUUUCAGUCGGGAGGCGUUACCGACAGAAGAAGCACCGGCUAACUCCGUGCCAGCAGCCGCGGUAAUAC
This 403-nucleotide ribosomal RNA is filed under the name uncultured bacterium. RNAcentral describes it as "partial 16S ribosomal RNA". It matches the Rfam family "Bacterial small subunit ribosomal RNA", at positions 30 to 526 of the family's 1533-position model. The record is from RNAcentral.